Molecule: long non-coding RNA, 4071 nt
Organism: Phyllostomus discolor (pale spear-nosed bat)
Lineage: Eukaryota; Metazoa; Chordata; Mammalia; Chiroptera; Phyllostomidae
Exons: 2
Source: RefSeq, a predicted model, not a curated record
UACAAUUUUUUUAUAACCUGACCGCUUUUCCUAGUUAAUUUUAUUCUUGUUUCAUUCCCAGCAGAAAUGUCUUGUUUACAGUGAUCUUGGUUUUUGUUUUCUGUAUAUGCUGGCUGUAUUCUAGUCUUGCCAUUUUGCUUAUGCUGUUCUAUUCACACUGAAUCUGCUUCCUGAGACCUGUUAGUGUUUGUACUCUCUUGUCAAAUCUUUCCAGGAGCAUUUUAGCCCACAGGAAUGAAAACCUCCACUCAUAUUUAAACUAUUUUUAAAAAUAGCAUUUACUGUAAGAUUUUUUUCACAUUUUUUAUUGCUCAUAGUUUCCUCUGUAUUGCUCUGAUUAUCCUCAAAACAUUAUAGAUAUUUCCAUGGCAUACUCCUUCAUACUUACUCAUUAUGCCAGCAGCAGCGAGAAUGUAUACAAGAAUAUAUCUCUCUCUCUCCAAGGGAGUUUCAAACUUCAUACCCAUGUGAGUUUCACUGGUCUUACUUGUGGUGAGUUUUAAAUUUUUUUUAAAAUUUUAUUAAAAAUUUUAAAGUCCUGGGUUCUACUCUCCAGAGAUUCUGACCCUGGGUAUGGGUUGGGGCGCAGGAGUGUGUCUGUAUUUUAAGCCAGAAUCCCAUGUGAUUCUGAUGCUGACAGCCGUAGACCACCUUGAGAAAACCAGUGUAGUGUCGACUCCAGAGCUGGGCUGGGAGCUGUCUGUGGUCUGGUUUCUGCACCACUGAUUCAUGGACCCUGUCACCUUGGGCAGACUUCCUUUCCUGAGCCCCAUUUUCCUUUCUAAUCCGUGUAAUACCUGUCCUGCCUAUUUCAGAAGGUUGAUUUGAAGAUACUGUAUGUGAGGUGUUUAGAAAUUGACCCAUUAUAUAUAUGUAAGGUGUCAGUUUUAUGUGCAGACACCUUUUUAAUCGAUUCCUAAGCUCAGGGGGGAAAAGUUUCAUAGGAAAAUGAUGUGCUUUGAACUGAAUUUAGUGAAUUUAGUCCCCUCUACACUGUAGGGGGAAAUUUUUGUUAAAUUUCAGCCAGCAUGCUAUUAAUAAAUGUGAAAAAUUAAUUCAUUAAUGAUGGUAACAUUAAAAAUUUAUCUAUAAAAAUGUAGUUAUCAGAAAAUCUCUUCCACGUGAGGUAUUUGAGAUUUAAAACCAUCUAACUCAAGAAUAUUGAGGCAUACUGUUGAAUUAUUUAAGAAGAAUAUUUGUUUAAUUUUUGAAUGUGAAGAAAUACACCUAUGUGUUUUCUUUCCUCCUUUUAAGAGUCUGUUUGAAUCAAAAUGCAAGUAAGACCUAUACAUUAUAAAUGCAAAUACGGGUUUUCAAACUCUGUACUGCUGACAGAGGAUUGGAGGCUCGAUGGAUCGCUGUUCAACCUGCAAAGGCCUGGCUGGGACCAGGCAACUUCUUGGGGCCUGUAUCAUUCGCUCCUUGCGGUAGAGCCAGGUUUUGUGUCAGAGCCCAUGGGGAGGGGCUAGGCUCACAGCAGGUGGCUACCCUGAAUCUGGAUGCUCUGUAACCUGGAGUCCCUGGGAAACACUGCCACUUAAGUGACUUCAGGCUUUGCAGCAAACUCGUAUCACAAGUGCCUUAUGACACGAGUCUGAAUUGCCCUUCACCUGUGUCUUUUCCAUUGCUCCAGCACCUGCUGCUACUCAGGCUCCUGAAAGUUGAUACUGGGUUCUCACUGCAGAACUGGAAGCCUGUUCAGCUGCUAGGACGGAAGCUGACAUUCAUACUGGCAACAGAGGGUGCCGUCUAGUGGUAGGGUGCGUUACGAGCUGGUAAGAAGAAACUUGGGACAGGCUCUGGGCCCAUAGAUUUUUGAAGAAUUGGUGAUGGUAUUUUUAUGUUGUUUCAUGAAAUUCAAGCCAUCCUGCACAGGAAAGAUCAGCUAUGUAGAGGAGUAGGAAGAGCCCAUAUCCAACAGGAUCUCUUUGAAGAAUUAGAUAUGUCGGUCUUUUAGUGGACCAUGGAUACCACCAAUUCCCCUAGGACAAGCUCAUACUGGCCUGUGAUGAGUAACAGAUGGAUAGAUACAUAGAUAUUUGCUACAUAUAGCACAGUAGUUACAGUUAUUGUAUCUGCGUAUUUCAUGAUAAAAUGUUGAGAGGUUGGUGGCGGGGGAAGACAGAUCUGGCUGUCUUCCAAGGAUGGAGUGGCUGUGAGCAGUCAUCUGGUGCCAUAACUUGUUCUUCGUUGUGCCGUCUCACACAGCGAGGUGCCGUGGGUCUUAGUGUAGGUGAGUGGAGCCUCCUGGUAGUGUGCGUGCUCUACUGCAACAGCUGCUCUGCUUGCCGGGGGCCUGGUUCGGGUGCCUGCUGCAGUGUGUCUCAGAAGCCCCCGCUCGUCACAGGGCCCUGGUCGGGCUCAGAGGCUCUAAGCCACAGCACAACAGCCAGAUCUGUCUGUCUUCCCCCGCCUCCAGCUUCCCAACAGUUUACUAUGAAACACUCAAAUGUACUUAGAAGUUGAUAAAUUAUGCAGGUACAAUAACUAUAACUGUUGUGUUAUAUUUAGCAAGUAAUCUAUGUGUCUAUCCAUUUGUUACUCAUUUCAAAGUAAAUUGCAAAUGUUAGUUCACAUCACACCUAAAAUCUUUACUCUAUCAUUAACUACAAUUAUUAUUGUUAGUUUUUUGAGGUAUAAUUUACAUACAAUGAAAUGGAAAAAUCUUAAGUGUACCUUUGGAAGAGUUUUGAUAAGUGAAUCUAGUUUGGUAACCCAAAGCCCCAUAAAGAUACAGAACAUGACCAUCAUCCUGAAAAAGUUCCCUGACAUCCCUUCCCAUUGAAUCGCUCUCAUUUCAGAGGCAGUCCCGUUCUGAUUUUCGUUUCUAUUCGUAUAAGUAAAAUAGUAAAUCAUGUGCCAUUUCGUAUAAAGGCUGCUUUUGAGAGUUGUGCACGCGGAUGCCUGUAGCUUGGUCCUCUUUUUAUUACUGAAUAGUAUUCAGUUGUAUGAAGGUAUCAGAACUUGUUCAUUCUUCUUUGUCAGAUAUAUGUUUGGGGAAUAUUUCCUCCCAGUCUGUGGCUGUCUCAUUUAUUUUCUUACUGAUGUCUGUGGAUAAGCAGAAGAUUGGUUUUUUAUUUAAAUAAAAUGCAUCAAUUCAUAGUUUUAUAAUUACUGCUUUCUCUAUUCUGUCUUGAGAAAUUUCUGCCUUCUCUCACAUAAUGAGAAUAACCUCAUUUUAUAUUUUAGAGGCUCUAAAAGCCUUAGCUUUUAUGUUUACAUCUAUGAUCCAUCUCAAAUUAAUUUUAGUGUAUAUAUGAUAGCAGUCAAAGUUUAUAGGUUUCCAUGAGUGUACGUAGUUGUUCCAGCUUCGUUUGUUCAAAACACUUUCUUCAAUGGAUUGCUUUGGAGCUUUUGUCAAAAAUGAAGUGACCUUGUAAGUAUCGGUAUGUUUCUGAGCUCUCCAUUUUCAUUUAUUUAUUCAUUAAUCCUUAUGCCAGUGCUACACUGUGUUGAAAUAAAUCUUGAAGCCAGGUAGUACAGGUCCUUCAGUUUCAUUUUCUAAGAGGUCGCUUUACAUGUUCUGGGUUAGGGGUGGCAAACUGGUCACGCAGCCACAUUUAUAUGGCCACUUGAGUGAUCUCCUGUUGUUCGACAUGGAGAGCAAGUUGGGUCGUCCCUUUCUGUCCUCAUUACCCUCUCCCCUGUCGGCAGCUGCCGGGACCAAAUGGUGUAGUCUUAUUUGGGGGUGGUGACUCAGUCAUCUUUGGCCAAAUGCUCAAAUGGAGAUGACUGGGCUCUCUCGGAGGAGAGAAAGGAACAUUGGGAGCCAAGUGCCACUGGCACAGAGAAUGAAAAUGACCCAGGGUUGUUAAUUCAGAUUAUCAGUUUCUUGUGUCAGUUUUGAUGAGUUGUAUUUUUCAGGGAAUUUGCCUGUUUCAUCUAAGUUGUCAUAUUUAUUGAUGUAAAGUUAUUCAUAAUAGACCCUACUGUAUAAUGUGUAUUGGGUCUAUAUAGUUGGGUCUUUAUUCUAUUUACUCUGGGUUAUUUGCUUUUCUUAGCUUGUUAAGGUGGAACCUAAGGUAAUUGAUUUGAGAACUUUUUUUCCUAAUAUUAUUUUAGAGCAAUAAA